Molecule: ribosomal RNA, 749 nt
Filed under: Escherichia coli
Lineage: Bacteria; Pseudomonadati; Pseudomonadota; Gammaproteobacteria; Enterobacterales; Enterobacteriaceae
Description: partial 23S ribosomal RNA
Rfam family: Bacterial large subunit ribosomal RNA
Source: RNAcentral
ACCACCCUUUAAUGUUUGAUGUUCUAACGUUGACCCGUAAUCCGGGUUGCGGACAGUGUCUGGUGGGUAGUUUGACUGGGGCGGUCUCCUCCUAAAGAGUAACGGAGGAGCACGAAGGUUGGCUAAUCCUGGUCGGACAUCAGGAGGUUAGUGCAAUGGCAUAAGCCAGCUUGACUGCGAGCGUGACGGCGCGAGCAGGUGCGAAAGCAGGUCAUAGUGAUCCGGUGGUUCUGAAUGGAAGGGCCAUCGCUCAACGGAUAAAAGGUACUCCGGGGAUAACAGGCUGAUACCGCCCAAGAGUUCAUAUCGACGGCGGUGUUUGGCACCUCGAUGUCGGCUCAUCACAUCCUGGGGCUGAAGUAGGUCCCAAGGGUAUGGCUGUUCGCCAUUUAAAGUGGUACGCGAGCUGGGUUUAGAACGUCGUGAGACAGUUCGGUCCCUAUCUGCCGUGGGCGCUGGAGAACUGAGGGGGGCUGCUCCUAGUACGAGAGGACCGGAGUGGACGCAUCACUGGUGUUCGGGUUGUCAUGCCAAUGGCACUGCCCGGUAGCUAAAUGCGGAAGAGAUAAGUGCUGAAAGCAUCUAAGCACGAAACUUGCCCCGAGAUGAGUUCUCCCUGACCCUUUAAGGGUCCUGAAGGAACGUUGAAGACGACGACGUUGAUAGGCCGGGUGUGUAAGCGCAGCGAUGCGUUGAGCUAACCGGUACUAAUGAACCGUGAGGCUUAACCUUACAACGCCGAAGCUGUU